CCGGUUUAAACUCAGAUCAUGUAAAAUUUUAAAGGUCGAACAGACCUAAUUUAUUAGCCUCUUCACCAACAAUCAAUUUUAAUCCAACAUCGAGGUCGCAAUCUUUUAUUUCGAUAAGAACUCUAAAAAAAAUUACGCUGUUAUCCCUAAGGUAAUUUAAUCUUAUAAUCUUAACUCUAGGAUCAAAUACUCAUAAAUAAAUGGUUAUAUAAAAAAAAAGUUAAUUAAAUUUUUUCAUCACCCCAACAAAAUAUUUUUUCAGCCAAAAUAACUAUAUUAAUCUUAAAUUUAAUUAAACUUUAAAAUAUAAAACUCUAUAGGGUCUUCUCGUCUUCUAUAUGCAUUUAAGCUUUUUAACUUAAAAAUAAAAUUCUAAUAAAUUUUUACAGAGACAGAAAUUUUUUCAUCAAACCCUUCAUUCCAGCUUUCAAUUAAAAAACUAAUGAUUAUGCUACCUUUGCACGGUUAGUAUACCGCGGCCAUUCAAUAUCUCAUUGGGCAGGUCAGACCUAAAAUUAUAAUCAAUAAGCC
This 531-nucleotide ribosomal RNA is filed under the name Trigonopterus parvus. Its description in RNAcentral is "partial 16S ribosomal RNA". The record is from RNAcentral. Lineage: Eukaryota; Metazoa; Arthropoda; Insecta; Coleoptera; Curculionidae.